GACGUAGGGCGCGAGCGUUGUCCGGAUUUAUUGGGCGUAAAGAGCUCGUAGGCGGUUUGUUGCGUCGGCUGUGAAAUCCCGAGGCUCAACCUCGGGUCUGCAGUCGAUACGAGCAAACUAGAGUGUUGCAGGGGAGACUGGAAUUCUCGGUGUAGCGGUGAAAUGCGUAGAUAUCGAGAGGAACACCUGCGGCGAAGGCGGGUUGCUGGGCUGACACUGACGCUGAUGCGCGAAAGCCAGGGGAGCGAACGGG
RNAcentral lists this ribosomal RNA (253 nucleotides) under uncultured bacterium. RNAcentral describes it as "partial 16S ribosomal RNA". It matches the Rfam family "Bacterial small subunit ribosomal RNA", at positions 524 to 776 of the family's 1533-position model. The record is from RNAcentral.